GAUGAACGCUAGCGGGAGGCCUAACACAUGCAAGCUGAGCGGUAGAGUUUCUUCGGAGACUUGAGAGCGGCGUACGGGUGCGGAACACGUGUGCAACCUGCCUUUAUCAGGGGGAUAGCCUUUCGAAAGGAAGAUUAAUACCCCAUAAUAUAUAGAGUGGCAUCACUUUAUAUUGAAAACUGAGGUGGAUAAAGAUGGGCACGCGCAAGAUUAGAUAGUUGGUGAGGUAACGGCUCACCAAGUCGAUGAUCUUUAGGGGGCCUGAGAGGGUGAGCCCCCACACUGGUACUGAGACACGGACCAGACUCCCACGGGAGGCAGCAGUGAGGAAUAUUGGACAAUGGGUUAGCGCCUGAUCCAGCCAUCCCGCGUGAAGGACGACGGCCCUAUGGGUUGUAAACUUCUUUUGUACAGGGAUAAACCUAUUUACGUGUAAAUAGCUGAAGGUACUGUACGAAUAAGCACCGGCUAACUCCGUGCCAGCAGCAGCCGCGG
Molecule: ribosomal RNA, 495 nt
Filed under: uncultured bacterium
Lineage: Bacteria
Description: partial 16S ribosomal RNA
Rfam family: Bacterial small subunit ribosomal RNA
Source: RNAcentral